AAAGUGAACUGGGGGGUCGCUGGCGGUAUUUUUUACCGCGAGAGGAAAGUCCGGGCUCCACAGGACAGGGUGGUCGGUAACGCCGACCGACCGCAAGGUCAGGGAAAGUGCAGCAGAAAGUAAACCGCCUCCAUGCUUGCAUGGCGGUAAGGGUGAAACGGUGCGGUAAGAGCGCACCAGCAGCCGGGGCGACUCGGCUGGCUUGGUAAACCCCACCCGGAGCAAAGCCAAACAGAGAGGAAGAGGGCGGCAACGCUCUCCUGAGGCGGUCCGUCUCAGUCGACUCUCGGGUAGGCUGCUUGAAGCGGCGAGCAAUCGCCGUUCUAGAUAAAUGACCGCCGCUUCGCCCUCGGGCGAAGAGACAGAACCCGGCUUACAGGUUCACUUUGCGA
This 392-nucleotide RNase P RNA is filed under the name Lignipirellula cremea. RNAcentral describes it as "Bacterial RNase P class A". It matches the Rfam family "Bacterial RNase P class A". Rfam says of the family: Ribonuclease P (RNase P) is a ubiquitous endoribonuclease, found in archaea, bacteria and eukarya as well as chloroplasts and mitochondria. Its best characterised activity is the generation of mature 5'-ends of tRNAs by cleaving the 5'-leader elements of precursor-tRNAs. The record is from Rfam by way of RNAcentral. Lineage: Bacteria; Pseudomonadati; Planctomycetota; Planctomycetia; Pirellulales; Pirellulaceae.